RNAcentral lists this transfer RNA (76 nucleotides) under Nostoc linckia z1. RNAcentral's name for it is "tRNA-Cys". It matches the Rfam family "tRNA". From Rfam's summary of the family: Transfer RNA (tRNA) molecules are approximately 80 nucleotides in length. Their secondary structure includes four short double-helical elements and three loops (D, anti-codon, and T loops). Lineage: Bacteria; Bacillati; Cyanobacteriota; Cyanophyceae; Nostocales; Nostocaceae. The record is from RNAcentral. RNAcentral also lists the same sequence under 21 other names.
GUCCAGGUCGCCAAGUGUUUAAGGCAUCGGCUUGCAACACCGACAAUCGUGGGUUGAAAUCCCACCCUGGACUCCA